RNAcentral lists this ribosomal RNA (253 nucleotides) under uncultured bacterium. Its description in RNAcentral is "partial 16S ribosomal RNA". It matches the Rfam family "Bacterial small subunit ribosomal RNA", at positions 524 to 776 of the family's 1533-position model. The record is from RNAcentral.
UACGUAGGUGGCAAGCGUUGUCCGGAUUUAUUGGGCGUAAAGCGCGCGCAGGCGGUUUCUUAAGUCUGAUGUGAAAGCCCUCGGCUUAACCGAGGAGGGUCAUUGGAAACUGGGAGACUUGAGUGCAGAAGAGGAAAGUGGAAUUCCAAGUGUAGCGGUGAAAUGCGUAGAGAUUUGGAGGAACACCAGUGGCGAAGGCGAUUUUCUGGUCUGUAACUGACGCUGAGGCGCGAAAGCGUGGGGAGCAAACAGG